CUAUAAAGAAAGCUGAGUGCCGAAGCAUUGAUGCUUUUGAACUGUGGUGUUGGAGAAGACUCUUGAGAGUCCCUUGGACUGCAAGGAGAUCCAACCAGUCCAUCCUCAAGGAAAUCAGUCCUGAAUAUUCAUUGGAAGGACUGAUGCUGAAGCUGAAACUCCAAUACUUUGGCCACCUGAUGUGAAGAACUGACUCAUUUGAAAAGACCCUGAUGCUGGCUCUCUGUUAUGAGUUAAGGAGCCUGUCUCACAAGUUCCUCCAAUCAUGUCCUGGCCGCUUUCUCCAGUCUGGAUGAGCUCCUGAGAAAACUAAAAUGGAUAAAAUGGGGUUUGUGUUAUUGUGAGCCUGCAAUUUGCUUCCUCCUUCAUAAAAUACUAGCCGGACGUCCAGUAUAUGAGCAUCAGCAUCUGUAAAUCCAGCAGCAUGACCGGUGGGCUGCUCACAUCAAGCAGGCAGACACUGUUGAUUAAGCUGGAGGUCUCCUUGAUAUCAUUUCCUGGUCUCCUGGUAUCGUCUUCAACUCCCCCAGUUUCAUUGCUGCAGGCAAGUCUUAACUCACCUGGAUUCACCUGGAGGAAGGGGACUAAUUCUAUCCACUGCUGGCAAUUAAAGAUGGCCACAAAUGCUUUU
Long non-coding RNA from Bos taurus (domestic cattle), 631 nucleotides. The record is from Ensembl. Lineage: Eukaryota; Metazoa; Chordata; Mammalia; Artiodactyla; Bovidae.